GGAUUUGAGGGGCAUCUGUCACCCACUGAUCAGGGUUGCCUGGCUGGCUAGGUGCUCUCCCUUCCUCCCUCAUCAUUUGCAAAGCUGCACACUCGGUCAAAGAGAAUAGACAGAGGACUCGUCUAUGGUCCAAGAUGUGUGAGUAGCUGCCCUCCUCUCACCUCAACUAGCUCUUCAGGUCCAUCUGCAGGAGGAUGGAGACUGGAGCUUCAAGCCUUCAGGCAUAGCCAUGCUGCAUGAAUGUUAGUCUGCCUUUCUCU
This 260-nucleotide small nuclear RNA is filed under the name Rattus norvegicus (Norway rat). Its description in RNAcentral is "7SK RNA". It matches the Rfam family "7SK RNA". Rfam says of the family: 7SK was discovered as an abundant small nuclear RNA in the mid-70s but a possible function has only recently been suggested. Two independent studies have found that 7SK RNA binds the CDK9/cyclin T complex (known as elongation factor P-TEFb). The record is from Rfam by way of RNAcentral. Lineage: Eukaryota; Metazoa; Chordata; Mammalia; Rodentia; Muridae.